Long non-coding RNA from Ceratina calcarata, 461 nucleotides. RefSeq lists it as uncharacterized. Lineage: Eukaryota; Metazoa; Arthropoda; Insecta; Hymenoptera; Apidae. The record is from RefSeq and is a predicted model, not a curated record. The transcript is spliced from 4 exons.
CGUUCGAAAGGUGAAAGGAGAACUUCUGUGCGACGCAUCGAACCGUCGAACGCGACUCGCAAUGGCUAGCCUGUUGAACGUAUACCCGCGAGAUAAGCAGAGACGAGUGACCUUAAUCUAGGAAAUGGCCACUAAGAGGUGUUCCCUCCACGAGGGAACAAGCAAAGCGAAACGCGGACAAACGGUCGCAGAGAGGAUAACGUCUGACCCAGGAUAGAAACGGUUAGACAGAGAAGGUCCUCGAUCUUCGUCUCUUGGUUGCAUCCGUUCAACGGUUAAACGAACGGGACGAGCGUCGUUCGGAAACGAGAAUACUCGGACCGUUCCGAAACUCGGUCAACGACUUAACCAGAUUUGUUGGAGAAAACUUUUCGGAAAAUUGACGAAGGACGAGCGUCUACGACGUCGUCCCCGUUGUUACUCGGUUCGGGACAAAACAUCUUCCAAGCAACAGAAGAAGC